This is a long non-coding RNA of Cyprinus carpio carpio, 966 nucleotides long. NCBI's taxonomy places the organism in Eukaryota, Metazoa, Chordata, Actinopteri, Cypriniformes, Cyprinidae. The record is from Ensembl.
AGCCGGGGCCCUCUAAUAAGACUGACCCCUCGCUGUCAUGUACCGGCCAGAUAUUCACCGCGUUGCCUGCUUGAGAGGCUGCUGGAGAAAGGAUAUAAAUGUCACUCACAGCACCGCUUGAAAAUCCCAGUCUAUGUCUGCUUACAUUCCUGAUUUUCCAAAACACUCUACCUCAUCGCAAAUGUCACAUUACUGAAGCGAACACAGUUUUAUCCUGACCGUUAAAGACUACAGCUGAUCAUAAAAAUAUCUAAACCACAGGAGUAAUUCUGCUAAUGAGCAUAUGGCAGCGGCAUCUGAUAAUGAAGAGAAAGGUCAUUAAAUGAGACUUCGACAUCUGAUACAUAAAGAACGAGGCUGAAUGGAAUAGAUUUUACAGUGCUUGACGAUCAAGGUGAUGAUCUUGUAUCUCGGCGCAGUGGCCCUCGGGGAAGUCGACUGUAAUUGGACGAACUCAUCACCUAAUGUGCCGGCAGCGAGGAGCUCCGCCCUUCAUCAUCACAAUGACCUUCAUCUGCCUCCUCGUCUUCACAACAAGACACAGAUCUCAGAAACAGUCAAAGCACCAAACCUAAAGCACAAAAGGGAAAGGAAGCCAACAGAAGAAUCGACUUGCAUGACUUGCAAAGACAGACAGCAAAAUCCAAAAGUGUGGACGGCAGUCGACUCCUACACGCAGAGUGAAGCUGAUGCUGUCGGUGAUAAUCGAGGUGGCUGGAAUCCCGUCCAACAUUCAGGUGUCCUCACGCAUCCCCUGCAAACCGGGAGCAGGUUAUGGGAAUAUGUGUUCUGGGAAAUGAGGAACGGCGCUGCGUUGGUGGUCUCGAGGGGCGAUGGCCGGCUGGCCUCGGGCUGAAUACUCACACUGCUGUGACGGUGACCCUCCUCACCUCACGUUCAGCUCAUUUAAAUGCAAACAGUCGCAGAGCUACAUUUUAUAUCACAGGUGCAUGUAUGCAGCAAAAU